AAGUCGUAACAAGGUUUCCGUAGGUGAACCUGCGGAAGGAUCAUUAACACCCCCGUGAACUUUCAGCUUGCUCCUGUAGCGUGAACAGCAAUCCCUGGUAAAUCAUUGUUGACCAGCUUUUGAGUCAUAUUGUGAUAUUUUAUAGCUACGGUUGAGCGAUUGCAUCUAGUGACCAAGUAAUCAGUGUCUGAAAGUGUCAUUGAUUAUGUAAGGAUGGCGCAGUCACGAUCGCUGUAGGCACACACGGCCGACGACCGGUUCACCGGGCUGCCCCUUUACCACAACACAGUACGAAUUGGCCGCGCUGAAAUUCGCACUAACAAUGGAUAUCUC
This 333-nucleotide unclassified non-coding RNA is filed under the name fungal sp. Its description in RNAcentral is "partial internal transcribed spacer region". The stretch from base 1 to 46 matches the Rfam family "Eukaryotic small subunit ribosomal RNA", at positions 1786 to 1831 of the family's 1831-position model. Lineage: Eukaryota; Fungi. The record is from RNAcentral.